CCUACGGGAGGCAGCAGUAGGGAAUAUUGCUCAAUGGGGGAAACCCUGAAGCAGCAACGCCGCGUGGAGGAUGAAGGUUUUCGGAUUGUAAACUCCUUUUGUUAGAGAAGAUAAUGACGGUAUCUCACGAAUAAGCACCGGCUAACUCCGUGCAAGCAGCCGCGGUAAUACGGAGGUUGCACGCGUUACUCGGAAUCACUGGGCGUAAAGAGCGCGUAGGCGGGAUAGCAAGUCAGAUGUGAAAUCCUCUGGCUUAACCCUAGAACUGCAUUUGAAACUAGUAUUCUAGAGUGUGGGAGAGGUAGGUGGAAUUCUUGGUGUAGCGGUAAAAUCCGUAGAGAUCAGGAGGAAUACUAGUUGCGAAGGCGACCUGCUAGAACAUAACUGACGCUGAUGCGCGAAAGCGUGGGGAGCAAACAGGAUUAGAUACCCUUGUAGUC
Molecule: ribosomal RNA, 440 nt
Filed under: uncultured bacterium
Lineage: Bacteria
Description: partial 16S ribosomal RNA
Rfam family: Bacterial small subunit ribosomal RNA
Source: RNAcentral